UACGUAGGGGGCAAGCGUUGUCCGGAAUCAUUGGGCGUAAAGCGCACGUAGGCGGCUUCGCAAGUCGGAUGUGAAAUCCCUAGGCUCAACCAAGGACGUGCAUCCGAAACUGCAGAGCUUGAGUACAGAAGAGGAUCGCGGAAUUCCCGGUGUAGAGGUGAAAUUCGUAGAUAUCGGGAGGAACACCAGUGGCGAAGGCGGCGAUCUGGGCUGAUACUGACGCUGAGGUGCGAAAGCGUGGGGAGCAAACAGG
This 253-nucleotide ribosomal RNA is filed under the name uncultured bacterium. RNAcentral's name for it is "partial 16S ribosomal RNA". It matches the Rfam family "Bacterial small subunit ribosomal RNA", at positions 524 to 776 of the family's 1533-position model. The record is from RNAcentral.